This 499-nucleotide long non-coding RNA is filed under the name Astyanax mexicanus (Mexican tetra). Its description in RNAcentral is "lncRNA (ENSAMXG00005003482.1)". The record is from RNAcentral. Lineage: Eukaryota; Metazoa; Chordata; Actinopteri; Characiformes; Acestrorhamphidae.
UAUACUUGGAGUUAUAUUGUGUUGUUUAAGUGUUCCCAUUAUUACUAUUUUUUGAGCAGUGUAUUUAUGUGUAAUAUUUCAGCAGGCCUCUGGGUGGCGCUGUAUGCAGUUGGUGGAGUGGUUGGAGUUUGUGGGCUUGCAGCUUUUCUUACUGGACUUUUCUGCAUUAGGAGACAGAAGAAGCAGGAUGUGAAUAUGGAUGAGGACAUCUACCAGAAUGUUGGAGAUAUCUCUUGUCCUCCUGAUGAAGAUUCCUCCAGUACUCAUGUUUAUGGGAAUGUAGAGGUGAGUUUUCAUUACUGGGCUUUUAUAAUUCAAUUUUAGAGCAUCUACUGAUGUUCUCUUUCUCUCGGUUCUGCAGAGUGUUGGACAUAAAGCUCCUGAUGAUGAUGAUGAUGAUGAUGAUGACUACUCCAGUAUUGCUGAUUACGAGAAUAUGGACGGCACUGUUAAAAAAUGGUAACGUAAAAAAAGUUACAAACUUGUUGGAGCUGCAAAA